Amblyraja radiata (thorny skate) is the source of this 157-nucleotide long non-coding RNA. RefSeq lists it as uncharacterized. The transcript is spliced from 3 exons. The record is from RefSeq and is a predicted model, not a curated record. NCBI's taxonomy places the organism in Eukaryota, Metazoa, Chordata, Chondrichthyes, Rajiformes, Rajidae.
GUCGUCGUGACUAUCCCUCAAGGUCGAGGAUGAUGGUCUACGUUCUGUUGUUUUUAUGGACUCUCAGGUGGCUUAUGAGUCCAAUCCUGGCUUGGAAAGUUCUUCGACAUUCAGGGCAGGGUUGAAGAGCCGUUGCUGCGGGCGUCCAGAUGGUAAG